Molecule: transfer RNA, 75 nt
Filed under: Maribacter cobaltidurans
Lineage: Bacteria; Pseudomonadati; Bacteroidota; Flavobacteriia; Flavobacteriales; Flavobacteriaceae
Also listed under: 2 other names
Description: tRNA-Arg
Rfam family: tRNA
About the family: Transfer RNA (tRNA) molecules are approximately 80 nucleotides in length. Their secondary structure includes four short double-helical elements and three loops (D, anti-codon, and T loops).
Source: RNAcentral
GGUCGCGUAGCUCAGCUGGAUAGAGCAUCUGCCUUCUAAGCAGACGGUCAAAGGUUCGAAUCCUUUCGCGAUCAC